Molecule: ribosomal RNA, 253 nt
Filed under: uncultured bacterium
Lineage: Bacteria
Description: partial 16S ribosomal RNA
Rfam family: Bacterial small subunit ribosomal RNA
Source: RNAcentral
UACGUAGGGUGCAAGCGUUGUCCGGAAUUAUUGGGCGUAAAGAGCUCGUAGGCGGUUUGUCGCGUCUGCUGUGAAAACCCGGGGCUUAACCCCGGGUCUGCAUUCGAUACGGGCAGACUGGAGUGUGGUAGGGGAGAUCGGAAUUCCUGGUGUAGCGGUGAAAUGCGCAGAUAUCAGGAGGAACACCGGUGGCGAAGGCGGAUCUCUGGGCCAUUACUGACGCUGAGGAGCGAAAGCGUGGGGAGCGAACAGG